CGUUACCAAACUGUUGCCUCGGCGGGAUCUCUGCCCCGGGUGCGUCGCACCCCGGACCAAGGCGCCCGCCGGAGGACCAACCAAAAACUCUUAUUGUAUACCCCCUCGCGGGUUUUUUUAUAAUCUGAGCCUUCUCGGCGCCUCUCGUAGGCGUUUCGAAAAUGAAUCAAAACUUUCAACAACGGAUCUCUUGGUUCUGGCAUCGAUGAAGAACGCAGCGAAAUGCGAUAAGUAAUGUGAAUUGCAGAAUUCAGUGAAUCAUCGAAUCUUUGAACGCACAUUGCGCCCGCCAGUAUUCUGGCGGGCAUGCCUGUCCGAGCGUCAUUUCAACCCUCGAACCCCUCCGGGGGGUCGGCGUUGGGGAUCGGCCCUGCCUUGGCGGUGGCCGUCUCCGAAAUACAGUGGCGGUCUCGCCGCAGCCUCUCCUGCGCAGUAGUUUGCACACUCGCAUCGGGAGCGCGGCGCGUCCACAGCCGUUAAACACCCAACUUCUGAAAUGUUGACCUCGGAUCAGGUAGGAAUACCCGCUGAACUUAAGCAUAUCAUA
RNAcentral lists this ribosomal RNA (547 nucleotides) under Trichoderma harzianum. Its description in RNAcentral is "eukaryotic LSU rRNA". The stretch from base 171 to 324 matches the Rfam family "5.8S ribosomal RNA". Lineage: Eukaryota; Fungi; Ascomycota; Sordariomycetes; Hypocreales; Hypocreaceae. The record is from RNAcentral.